This 398-nucleotide ribosomal RNA is filed under the name uncultured bacterium. Its description in RNAcentral is "partial 16S ribosomal RNA". It matches the Rfam family "Bacterial small subunit ribosomal RNA", at positions 523 to 918 of the family's 1533-position model. The record is from RNAcentral.
AUACGUAGGGAGCGAGCGUUGUCCGGAAUUACUGGGCGUAAAGCGCUCGUAGGUGGUUUGUCGCGUCGUCUGUGAAAUUCCGGGGCUUAACUCCGGGCGUGCAGUCGAUACGGGCAUAACUGGAGGACUGUAGGGGAGGCUGGAAUUCCUGGGGUGGCGGUGAAAUGCGCAGAUAUCAGGAGGAACACCGGUGGCGAAGGCGGGUCUCUGGGCAGUAACUGACGCUGAGGCGCGAAAGCAUGGGUAGCGAACAGGAUUAGAUACCCUGGUAGUCCAUGCCGUAAACGGUGGGAGCUAGGUGUAGGGGUCUUCCACGACUUCUGUGCCGUAGCUAACGCAUUAAGCGCCCCGCCUGGGGAGUACGGCCGCAAGGCUAAAACUCAAAGGAAUUGACGGGG